GGGUUGUGAGGUUAAGCGACUAAGCGUACACGGUGGAUGCCCUGGCAGUCAGAGGCGAUGAAGGACGUGCUAAUCUGCGAUAAGCGUCGGUAAGGUGAUAUGAACCGUUAUAACCGGCGAUUUCCGAAUGGGGAAACCCAGUGUGAUUCGUCACACUAUCAUUAACUGAAUCCAUAGGUUAAUGAGGCGAACCGGGGGAACUGAAACAUCUAAGUACCCCGAGGAAAAGAAAUCAACCGAGAUUCCCCCAGUAGCGGCGAGCGAACGGGGAGCAGCCCAGAGCCUGAAUCAGUGUGUGUGUUAGUGGAAGCGUCUGGAAAGGCGCGCGAUACAGGGUGACAGCCCCGUACACAAAAAUGCACAUGCUGUGAGCUCGAUGAGUAGGGCGGGACACGUGGUAUCCUGUCUGAAUAUGGGGGGACCAUCCUCCAAGGCUAAAUACUCCUGACUGACCGAUAGUGAACCAGUACCGUGAGGGAAAGGCGAAAAGAACCCCGGCGAGGGGAGUGAAAAAGAACCUGAAACCGUGUACGUACAAGCAGUGGGAGCACGCUUAGGCGUGUGACUGCGUACCUUUUGUAUAAUGGGUCAGCGACUUAUAUUCUGUAGCAAGGUUAACCGAAUAGGGGAGCCGAAGGGAAACCGAGUCUUAACUGGGCGUUAAGUUGCAGGGUAUAGACCCGAAACCCGGUGAUCUAGCCAUGGGCAGGUUGAAGGUUGGGUAACACUAACUGGAGGACCGAACCGACUAAUGUUGAAAAAUUAGCGGAUGACUUGUGGCUGGGGGUGAAAGGCCAAUCAAACCGGGAGAUAGCUGGUUCUCCCCGAAAGCUAUUUAGGUAGCGCCUCGUGAAUUCAUCUCCGGGGGUAGAGCACUGUUUCGGCAAGGGGGUCAUCCCGACUUACCAACCCGAUGCAAACUGCGAAUACCGGAGAAUGUUAUCACGGGAGACACACGGCGGGUGCUAACGUCCGUCGUGAAGAGGGAAACAACCCAGACCGCCAGCUAAGGUCCCAAAGUCAUGGUUAAGUGGGAAACGAUGUGGGAAGGCCCAGACAGCCAGGAUGUUGGCUUAGAAGCAGCCAUCAUUUAAAGAAAGCGUAAUAGCUCACUGGUCGAGUCGGCCUGCGCGGAAGAUGUAACGGGGCUAAACCAUGCACCGAAGCUGCGGCAGCGACGCUUAUGCGUUGUUGGGUAGGGGAGCGUUCUGUAAGCCUGCGAAGGUGUGCUGUGAGGCAUGCUGGAGGUAUCAGAAGUGCGAAUGCUGACAUAAGUAACGAUAAAGCGGGUGAAAAGCCCGCUCGCCGGAAGACCAAGGGUUCCUGUCCAACGUUAAUCGGGGCAGGGUGAGUCGACCCCUAAGGCGAGGCCGAAAGGCGUAGUCGAUGGGAAACAGGUUAAUAUUCCUGUACUUGGUGUUACUGCGAAGGGGGGACGGAGAAGGCUAUGUUGGCCGGGCGACGGUUGUCCCGGUUUAAGCGUGUAGGCUGGUUUUCCAGGCAAAUCCGGAAAAUCAAGGCUGAGGCGUGAUGACGAGGCACUACGGUGCUGAAGCAACAAAUGCCCUGCUUCCAGGAAAAGCCUCUAAGCAUCAGGUAACAUCAAAUCGUACCCCAAACCGACACAGGUGGUCAGGUAGAGAAUACCAAGGCGCUUGAGAGAACUCGGGUGAAGGAACUAGGCAAAAUGGUGCCGUAACUUCGGGAGAAGGCACGCUGAUAUGUAGGUGAAGUCCCUCGCGGAUGGAGCUGAAAUCAGUCGAAGAUACCAGCUGGCUGCAACUGUUUAUUAAAAACACAGCACUGUGCAAACACGAAAGUGGACGUAUACGGUGUGACGCCUGCCCGGUGCCGGAAGGUUAAUUGAUGGGGUCAGCGCAAGCGAAGCUCUUGAUCGAAGCCCCGGUAAACGGCGGCCGUAACUAUAACGGUCCUAAGGUAGCGAAAUUCCUUGUCGGGUAAGUUCCGACCUGCACGAAUGGCGUAAUGAUGGCCAGGCUGUCUCCACCCGAGACUCAGUGAAAUUGAACUCGCUGUGAAGAUGCAGUGUACCCGCGGCAAGACGGAAAGACCCCGUGAACCUUUACUAUAGCUUGACACUGAACAUUGAGCCUUGAUGUGUAGGAUAGGUGGGAGGCUUUGAAGUGUGGACGCCAGUCUGCAUGGAGCCG
This 2171-nucleotide ribosomal RNA is filed under the name Escherichia coli. Its description in RNAcentral is "bacterial LSU rRNA". It matches the Rfam family "Bacterial large subunit ribosomal RNA", at positions 1 to 2188 of the family's 2925-position model. The record is from RNAcentral. Lineage: Bacteria; Pseudomonadati; Pseudomonadota; Gammaproteobacteria; Enterobacterales; Enterobacteriaceae.